RNAcentral lists this ribosomal RNA (1171 nucleotides) under uncultured bacterium. Its description in RNAcentral is "bacterial SSU rRNA". It matches the Rfam family "Bacterial small subunit ribosomal RNA", at positions 340 to 1501 of the family's 1533-position model. The record is from RNAcentral.
UACGGGAGGCAGCAGUGGGGAAUAUUGGACAAUGGGCGCAAGCCUGAUCCAGCAAUGCCGCGUGUGUGAAGAAGGCCUUCGGGUUGUAAAGCACUUUUAUCGGGAGCGAAAUACCACGGGUUAAUAACCUAUGGGGCUGACGGUACCCGAGGAAUAAGCACCGGCUAACUUCGUGCCAGCAGCCGCGGUAAUACGAAGGGUGCAAGCGUUAAUCGGAAUUACUGGGCGUAAAGGGUGCGUAGGCGGUUCGUUAAGUCUGUUGUGAAAUCCCCGGGCUCAACCUGGGAAUGGCAAUGGAUACUGGCAAGCUAGAGUGUGUCAGAGGAUGGUGGAAUUCCCGGUGUAGCGGUGAAAUGCGUAGAGAUCGGGAGGAACAUCAGUGGCGAAGGCGGCCAUCUGGGACAACACUGACGCUGAAGCACGAAAGCGUGGGGAGCAAACAGGAUUAGAUACCCUGGUAGUCCACGCCCUAAACGAUGCGAACUGGAUGUUGGUCUCAACUCGGAGAUCAGUGUCGAAGCUAACGCGUUAAGUUCGCCGCCUGGGGAGUACGGUCGCAAGACUGAAACUCAAAGGAAUUGACGGGGGCCCGCACAAGCGGUGGAGUAUGUGGUUUAAUUCGAUGCAACGCGAAGAACCUUACCUGGCCUUGACAUGUCCGGAAUCGAGCAGAGAUGCUUGAGUGCCUUCGGGAAUCGGAACACAGGUGCUGCAUGGCUGUCGUCAGCUCGUGUCGUGAGAUGUUGGGUUAAGUCCCGCAACGAGCGCAACCCUUGUCCUUAGUUGCCAGCGAGUAAUGUCGGGAACUCUAAGGAGACUGCCGGUGACAAACCGGAGGAAGGUGGGGAUGACGUCAAGUCCUCAUGGCCCUUACGGCCAGGGCUACACACGUACUACAAUGGUCGGUACAGAGGGUAGCGAAGCCGCGAGGUGAAGCCAAUCCCAGAAAACCUCUCUCAGUCCGGAUCGCAGUCUGCAACUCGACUGCGUGAAGUCGGAAUCGCUAGUAAUCGCGAAUCAGCAUUGUCGCGGUGAAUACGUUCCCGGGCCUUGUACACACCGCCCGUCACACCAUGGGAGUGGGUUGCUCCAGAAGCAGGUAGUCUAACCGCAAGGAGGACGCUUGCCACGGAGUGGUUCAUGACUGGGGUGAAGUCGUAACAAGGUAACC